This 651-nucleotide long non-coding RNA is filed under the name Takifugu rubripes (torafugu). RNAcentral's name for it is "lncRNA (ENSTRUG00000027207.1)". The record is from RNAcentral. Lineage: Eukaryota; Metazoa; Chordata; Actinopteri; Tetraodontiformes; Tetraodontidae.
GCCCGUUAUCUGCCCCCCCGGCUAUGUCCCGUUAUUACCAGCAGAAACUGGGAAGAUGCUGAGCCCAACAUCAGGAGAUGCAGAGCUCCGAUUAACCGAAUCCCAAAGCAGAACGGAAUUUUGGCUUAAGAGCAAGGAGAGGAAAACCGUGGGAUCACGGAGCGCUGACAACAGCCGGCCCAGACACACCUGACAGGUUGCAGCGAUGAAUAUCUCAUCCACUGUGACCGCCACCAACGGAACUAAUUUGCUUAUGGAAAAUUGCAGAUCAUCAGUUUCCUGCAGGGAUAUAAGCACCUCUGCAGGCGCUGCUGAUUAAGGGCAGGCGAGAGUGCAAAUGGGCCUGAAUCUCCCCGCGGACCCAGAUGAAGUGUUAACGUUGGACAUGUCAUCCCUGAAGGAGCAUCAGAUAAAGGUGGAACGCUGUGAGCUUCAAGACUCGGAGCAGACGUCUCUCACAUGGACAUGCGAUCCGUCCAGGCUGUUUCUGGCCUCUCACAACAAACUCUACAAGGCUCUGCAGAUGAGUGAGGCUAACAUGGCCGACCUGUGAUGACGGGAGGGACACCGAUCCGGAACGUGACUCUGCAGGAUUUGUCAUGCUCCUGCAGCAGAUUCCGGCUGACAAAGCCUUGACACCUGUCAUAAAAA